Long non-coding RNA from Salmo trutta (river trout), 1965 nucleotides. The record is from Ensembl. NCBI's taxonomy places the organism in Eukaryota, Metazoa, Chordata, Actinopteri, Salmoniformes, Salmonidae.
AUUAUUGUACUGUAUUAUUAGUACAGCACUCACACAUGCCUGUGUCUGUUUUCUUCACAGACUGUCAGAGACGGAAGCUUCCGCGGAGCACCAAACCACAGGUGUGACUGGAGAGAGAUUUCAGCCACUCUGAUCAACACAGAGAGGGAGCUGUCUCUACUGACGUCAGAACCGGACGACCUAAAAGAAACUUUCACAAAAGUUUCAAGAACGCUACCCUCAAACAAGCAAGGCUGAAGAUAUCAAGUCUUUGAAGUGGACUGAGUAUCAUGUCUUGAGAUUGGCCUCAGUUUGUUUUUAGAAUAUCAACCCUAAUGGUUGACGCGGCCAGGGUUUAAUGCUCCCAAUGCUGUUCAUUCAAGAACACAUUUCUGUCUUCGUAGAAGAUUAAAGUACUUGGUGGGAUUAAUUUUUGGUAAAGGAACUGAGGUAUAGAAUGGGGCUACAGGAUCUUACCCGAGGCUAAACCCUGAUAUAGCAACCCACUUCUUAUCUUUUUAGAUCAGUCAAAAAUAUAUAUAUAUAUUCCAGCCCAUUCCGCCCAGCUUUGAGAGGGAAAUGGACAAGAUGAUGUGGACUCAGCUGAGAAUGUGGAGUCUCAGUUCCGAUCUGGAUAUGGCUUUGAGAUCAGACAUUCCGGGAAUCAACGCGAGGGCUCUACUGGGAUAGAGCGCAUCCUGGUACUCACACAGCCAGCAGCAUUUUCUCUGUGAUUCUUUUCAUGGAAAAAUUCAAGCCCACACAAAUGCCUAAGGCAAGUGUACAGUAGGGCUGCCUGCAAGCGUGGUAGUCUGAAUCCUCGAGGUGGACUGUUCUUUUCAUCCACUGCACCAGGACCCACACGCACCAGGACCCACAAGCACUAGAGGAGACAGACCCACACGGUCCAGGACCCACACGCUGCAGGACCCACACGUUCCAGGACCCACACGUUCCAGGACCCACACACUCCAGGACCCACACACUCCAGGACCCACAAGCACUAGAGGAGACAGACCCACACGUUCCAGGACCCACACGUGCAGGACCCACACACUCCAGGACCCACAAGCACUAGAGGAGACAGACCCACACGUUCCAGGACCCACACGUGCAGGACCCACGCGCUCCAGGACCCACACACUCCAGGACCCACACACUCUAGGACCCACACGCUGCAGGACCCACACGCUCCAGGACCUACACUUUCCAGGACCCACACGUUCCAGGACCCACACACUCCAGGACCCACACGCUGCAGGACCCACACACUCCAGGACCUACAUUUUCCAGGACCCACACGUUCCAGGACCCACACACUGCAGGACCCACACGCUGCAGGACCCACACACUCCAGGACCCACACGCUGCAGGACCCACACACUCCAGGACCCACACGCUGCAGGACCCACACGCUCCAGGACCCACACGCUACAGGACCCACACGCUGCAGGACCCACACACUCCAGGACCCACACGCUCCAGGACCCACACACUCCAGGACCUACACUUUCCAGGACCCACACGCUGCAGGACCCACCCACACGCUGCAGGACCCACAUGCUCCAGGACAUACACUUUCCAAGACCCACACGCUGCAGGACCCACACGCUGCAGGACCCACACGCUGCAGGACCCACACACUCCAGGACCUACACUUUCCAGGACCCACACACUGCAGGACCCACACACUCCAGAGGAGACAGACUCACAACUCCAGAGGAGACAGACUCACAGCUCCAGAGAAGACAGACUCACAGCUCCAGAGGAGACAGACUCACAACUCCAGAGGAGAAAGACUCACAGCUCCAGAGGAGACAGACUCACAGCUCCAGAGGAGACAGACUCACAACUCCAGAGGAGACAGACUCACAACUCCAGAUCUGUAUCUUUUACAACACAAGUCUAUCUAGGGCUGAAGGAGCCAGCCUGGUUUGAGCUGAUCCUUAGGAUUCAAGGAUCCAGGAAGUUGAGAUCGAGAGGAAG